This is a long non-coding RNA of Brienomyrus brachyistius, 1066 nucleotides long. RefSeq lists it as uncharacterized. The transcript is spliced from 3 exons. NCBI's taxonomy places the organism in Eukaryota, Metazoa, Chordata, Actinopteri, Osteoglossiformes, Mormyridae. The record is from RefSeq and is a predicted model, not a curated record.
UUUCUAAACAAAGAGACCGCGCGAAAUUAGUUACUACCAUUUAUUUUCAAAAUUUAUACACCGAUAGUACGACAUAAGAGUUUUUUUUUGUCAAAUUAAACAGAUUCUUAGGUAAUUUGUGUUUUAAACCGACUAAUCAAACAGCAAUUGUUUUGUACGCAGUUAAGAACAGCUGUUUGAGGCACUGCAGUGAAAACCGUAGCGAAACGUCUUUUCCAAUUAUCGUUUCUGUCGCACACAUAUCCCAAUCGAUCGUUGUCUUAAACUAAAAUGAUCGUAAUAUCCCCAUGCAGCCAGAGGAAGCGGAGGGCCGGGCGGCAUGCCAGACCUCAAGCCACUAUGCUCCAGGGUUAAUAACGCCGAAUUAAUACCGGCUAAAUAAAAGCAACAUUUUAAUGUAGUCAGAGGUGACCUGGAGGAUGAGACCAUUUUUAAAGAAAUAGUAAAAUUUUAUAAAGAUGAUCCGAAUAUUACCCAGGCAAGAUGCUGAAGAGGAUCCAGUGGAGGAUGCCAUAAUGUUCAGGAUGUGCAGCAAAACACAGGCAGCGUCAUCCUUAUCUCACCUGUAUGUCCCUCACAACGGGGCAGCAGUAAGUAACAGAAGAAACUAGAGUACCUGAAGGAGAAACUCGUGCGUGACAUUGAGAGAUCAUGCAAAUGGAACACAUAGCCAGCAGAGGACAGAUUCAUCGCACCAGCCAUGGAAGUAUGUUACCAACUGAGAACCACAAAACAGCUCCUCCUUACAAAGGUGAAAACCAUGUAUAGACCUUUCCCUCAAAUCUCCUAUACAUAAACAUUUAAAAAGUUAAGGUAAUAGACUAAUCAUUCAAUUGGAUGUUUUUGUGUGAAAUUUAUGCUAUGAAGCAGACAUGCAAAAAUGCAGGCCAGCACACUGAAUAUACGUGUGGCUGCCCUCUACUGGAAACAUGUGACAUCCACAAGAAAAAGCUAAAUAAAUGCUAUAUAGAGACGUAUGCUUUGGGAAGACAGCCUUCAGUUCCUGAUCAUGCAAAAUAUAUAUAUAAUAUGAUUUCUCUUCUAUGCCAGCUGUAGAGAAACCUGU